This is a long non-coding RNA of Ostrinia furnacalis (Asian corn borer), 233 nucleotides long. RefSeq lists it as uncharacterized. The transcript is spliced from 3 exons. Lineage: Eukaryota; Metazoa; Arthropoda; Insecta; Lepidoptera; Crambidae. The record is from RefSeq and is a predicted model, not a curated record.
CGUAGCGGGGACACCGUCAUGCCGAGGUGCUUGUUGUUGGUCAGCCGCUUCAGCAGCCGCGUCUAGUGGUCAACAUGUAUCACUGCUGCUACACUAGUACUCACCGGCGAGACGGCGCCGUUGGGCGGCUGCGCGGGCAGCGGGGAGGGGGCGGCGCGCAGCGGGGACACCGUCAUGCCGAGGUGCUUGCUGUUGAUCAGCCGCUUCAGCAGCUGCGUCGCUUCGCCGCCGCG